ACGGAAGGCAGCAGUGGGGAAUAUUGGACAAUGGGGGAAACCCUGAUCCAGCGACGCCGCGUGAGUGAAGAAGUAUUUCGGUAUGUAAAGCUCUAUCAGCAAGGAAGAAAAUGACGGUACUUGACUAAGAAGCUCCGGCUAAAUACGUGCCAGCAGCCGCGGUAAUACGUAUGGAGCAAGCGUUAUCCGGAUUUACUGGGUGUAAAGGGAGCGUGGACGGCAAAGCAAGUCUGAAGUGAAAUCCCGGGGCUCAACCCCGGAACUGCUUUGGAAACUGUUUAGCUAGAGUGCAGGAGAGAUAAGCGGAAUUCCUAGUGUAGCGGUGAAAUGUGUAGAUAUUAGGAGGAACACCAGUGGCGAAGGCGGCUUACUGGACUGUAACUGACGUUGAGGCUCGAAAGCGUGGGGAGCAAACAGGAUUAGAUACCCUGGUA
RNAcentral lists this ribosomal RNA (434 nucleotides) under uncultured Lachnospiraceae bacterium. RNAcentral describes it as "partial 16S ribosomal RNA". It matches the Rfam family "Bacterial small subunit ribosomal RNA", at positions 341 to 792 of the family's 1533-position model. The record is from RNAcentral. Lineage: Bacteria; Bacillati; Bacillota; Clostridia; Lachnospirales; Lachnospiraceae.